GGGCCGUUAGCUCAGUUGGUAGAGCAGUGGACUCUUAAUCCAUUUGUCGUAGGUUCGACCCCUACACGGCCCACCA
This 76-nucleotide transfer RNA is filed under the name Thiospirillum jenense. RNAcentral describes it as "tRNA-Lys". It matches the Rfam family "tRNA". Rfam says of the family: Transfer RNA (tRNA) molecules are approximately 80 nucleotides in length. Their secondary structure includes four short double-helical elements and three loops (D, anti-codon, and T loops). The record is from RNAcentral. RNAcentral also lists the same sequence under 2 other names. Lineage: Bacteria; Pseudomonadati; Pseudomonadota; Gammaproteobacteria; Chromatiales; Chromatiaceae.